Maylandia zebra (zebra mbuna) is the source of this 575-nucleotide non-coding RNA. Lineage: Eukaryota; Metazoa; Chordata; Actinopteri; Cichliformes; Cichlidae. The record is from RefSeq and is a predicted model, not a curated record.
UGUGCUCACAGAUGGUGACGGUGUGGAGAGACGGUGGUGUUUCCUCAGAAGAACCAGCAGAGUCACAAAGGACACCAGUCCAUCUCACCACCUUGACUUGCUGACUGAUGCUCGUCUGCACUGCACAGAGGAAAUCAACUGACCGAGGAGUGUUUCUGAGUGAGGGGGGAGGAGUCAUCAUCCAGGUAAAGUGACGUGGAUCAGUGGAUACACUUGUCUCCCCUUUAAAGGAGACGAUCCAAGUCAUCCUUAAAUAUGGGCAGCAUAUCAGUCUUGGACUGUCUAACCUGCAGCACUGAAUGACCACCACACAUGAGCAUGUUCCUGCAACAUUCAGCAUCUGAUCCUUCAUCUGUGUGCUUCUGCUUUUGUGUCACAUGUCAAACAGCUGGAGAGGAAACUACACCAGUGUACUGGGAUGUUUCAGCAACACGUGCCAGAUGCUGUUCCUUCAUGGUGACAUCACCAGAGACAGCCCCGCCCACCUCAGGACCUCGCCAUUGAUCAUGAUGAUUAUAAUGAUGACAGCGAGCGGAACUAAGACUGUAAAAAUCCACGACCAGAAUGUUUCUUUC